UAGGGAAUUUUGCGCAAUGGGCGAAAGCCUGACGCAGCAACACCGCGUGAAGGAUGAAGCCCCUCGGGGUGUAAACUUCUGUCGGCAGGGAAGAAUAAAUGACUGUACCUGCAAAGGAAGCAUCGGCUAACUACGUGCCAGCAGCCGCGGUAAGACGUAGGAUGCAAGCGUUGUCCGGAAUUAUUGGGCGUAAAGCGUUCGUAGGUGGUUACUUAAGUCUGGUGUUAAAUCCCGGGGCUCAACUCCGGAUCUGCACUGGAUACUGGGUAGCUUGAGUGUGGUAGAGGCAAAGAGAAUUCCUGGUGUAGCGGUGAAAUGCGUAGAUAUCAGGAGGAAUACCGGUGGCGAAAGCGCUUUGCUGGGCCAUAACUGACGCUGAGGAACGAAAGCCAGGGUAGCGAAAGGGAUUAGAUACCCCUGUAGUCCUGGCCGUAGACGAUGGAUACUAGGUGUUGGAGGUAUCGACCCCUUCAGUGCCGUAGCUAACGCGAUAAGUAU
RNAcentral lists this ribosomal RNA (498 nucleotides) under uncultured bacterium. RNAcentral's name for it is "bacterial SSU rRNA". It matches the Rfam family "Bacterial small subunit ribosomal RNA", at positions 355 to 867 of the family's 1533-position model. The record is from RNAcentral.